GUGUUAUAUGAAAGGAGUGCUCCCCUCAUCAAGGAUGGAAGAGGCCCUCAAGUCCUGACAACAGACAUACGGUUAUGGCACUGCCACCUACCACAUGGCUUCUAAGCACUGUUUAAA
This is a small nuclear RNA of Vulpes vulpes (red fox), 117 nucleotides long. The record is from Ensembl. Lineage: Eukaryota; Metazoa; Chordata; Mammalia; Carnivora; Canidae.